CUUUAAGAGACAGACCCUGGGCUGGAGAGAUGGCUCAGAGGUUAAGAGCACUGGCUGCUCUUCCAGAGGUCCCGAGUUCAAUUCCCAGCAACCACAUGG
Molecule: microRNA precursor, 99 nt
Filed under: Cricetulus griseus (Chinese hamster)
Lineage: Eukaryota; Metazoa; Chordata; Mammalia; Rodentia; Cricetidae
Description: miRNA (ENSCGRG00001004949.1)
Source: RNAcentral